CGCAGACAGGGCAUCUGGGUAAGCCGCGUGGCUCACACAACCAUGAAAGACCGGGUUCGAUUCCCGGGCCUGCAACCA
Molecule: transfer RNA, 78 nt
Filed under: Ensifer meliloti
Lineage: Bacteria; Pseudomonadati; Pseudomonadota; Alphaproteobacteria; Hyphomicrobiales; Rhizobiaceae
Also listed under: 1 other name
Description: Sinorhizobium meliloti tRNA-Val
Source: RNAcentral